Long non-coding RNA from Carassius auratus (goldfish), 253 nucleotides. RefSeq lists it as uncharacterized. The transcript is spliced from 3 exons. The record is from RefSeq and is a predicted model, not a curated record. Lineage: Eukaryota; Metazoa; Chordata; Actinopteri; Cypriniformes; Cyprinidae.
UGGUGCCUACAAAUACAAAAGAAAACACAAUACCAUUUCAUGGAUUUCAAAAACAGAACUCACAAAACAUGCAAUUAAGAUUAGCACAGAAGAGAGAAGUGAGAUUUUUCUGUCAGUGCUCCAUGAAUUUUAAUCAAAGAAUGUAUGCAAUUGUAGAAUUUUCAGAGGAGGGAACAUGUGAAAUGGUGCCAGAUAUCUGGUUGUUUAUGAAGGAUGAGGUACAAUACUGUUACUGGCCACCAAUGAAUGCAAC